CUAAACUUCUCUUUUGAACUCCAGAUUCAUAUAUCUAAUUAUCUACUUGAUAUUUCAGUGCAUAUAUCUAAUAGGCAAAUAAAACUUAACUUGUCCAAAAACCAGCUCUUGAUUCCUCCCUUCCACCACCACCACUCUCAAAUCAGCUCUAACCACAGAUUUCCCCAUCUUAGUAACUGGUAACUCCAUUGUCCCAAGUUUCUUAGGCCAAAGAUGCUUUGAGACAUCCAGAAUUCUGCACUUUAUCUCCCACCCUUUUCUCAUCAAUCAGCAUAUUCUGUUAACUAUGCCCAUCAAAAUAGAUUUUGAAUUUGUCCACUUCUCACCACCUCCACUGAUAUCACCCAAGCUCAAGGCUAGGAGGUUCUUUCCAAUUUUUGCUGUUACAAAGAAAGCUACAAUCAAAUAUUCUUGUGAUGCUGGCUUGCUGAAAUCAGAUGUGGGACCCUAAUACCUAACCAUUAAAGUACAUCUUCAGAGCUCUAGACUUCCUCAGAAUGCGGUAUUAAAACCAUCAACCUAGAGGUGCUCUAAGGGACUGGAUCUGAUGACUUCAAAAGAAUGAACCAGUAUGACACAGUGCUCAACCAGAAAUGACAAGGAAGAGCAUGAUUCCUGAAAUGUAACAAAGGGACAAACCUAGGAGGUGUCUUUGAUUCAAGGUACCUUUAGUAGAAGUCUCUACAUUCUUGUGAAUGUACACUAUUUGAUUAUUCCUGGAACUUUGUAAUCAUGAGAUGUGUGUGUGUGUGUGUGUGUGCGUGCGCAUGCAUACCUGCUCCUACUCUAUCAAUAACACUAGCAAAGUAGUGCAGACAAUUAAUUUUUGUUGAACUACAAAUCAAUAAGUUGGAGAUGAAGUAGAGGGGAAGCUACAAAUGCCACCAUUGAAGCUCCUGAGAAGAGAGAGCAGUAGAGACUCCAUGCUCCUCUACCAAGGGAAGCUUGAACAACUAAAAUGAAUAAACAGG
This 971-nucleotide long non-coding RNA is filed under the name Equus caballus (horse). RNAcentral describes it as "lncRNA (ENSECAG00000057408.1)". The record is from RNAcentral. Lineage: Eukaryota; Metazoa; Chordata; Mammalia; Perissodactyla; Equidae.